GGAGAUCUUGGGACUUAGAGAGUUUAGAGCUUGGAUUGAGGCUUCUAAGUUGUAAUCUAUUUGUUCUCUCCCUCUAGAAUUGAGUUUUAUUGUUUGUUUUGAGAUAAAACCCUAGAAUAGAGACUUAGGGUUUGAUUUGGGCAUUUUUGAUCUAGGGCUUUUGGAGCUUGAUUAAUUGGAUUAGAACCUUCCAUUUGGUUGGAUUGAAAGGGAUUUAGCUCUCUUUUGGAGCUUGGGAAAGAUUUUCUACUCCAUAGGUGAGAUUUUAGCCCUUUUGCCUUGAUGGUUAAUGUUUGAUCUUAUAGUUGUUCGUAACGCUCGUGUAUCUCUUCGCUCCUUACUUUUAGGAUACUUAGAGACUCGUGGACUACGUUCGGCGAAACGAAGGACUACGCGACGGUUCGGUGGGUUUGACCUAGCCACACAAUGAGAAAACCUCAUUUGUGAAGAAUUGAGUAUCAUUAAAUGAAAAGGCAUGCAUAAUCAUGUUAGAUAUAUUUAUUAUGAAUUUUAGAAUGCUUAAC
This 524-nucleotide long non-coding RNA is filed under the name Ananas comosus (pineapple). Its description in RNAcentral is "long non-coding RNA (ACOM_LNC038926)". Lineage: Eukaryota; Viridiplantae; Streptophyta; Magnoliopsida; Poales; Bromeliaceae. The record is from RNAcentral.